This 463-nucleotide ribosomal RNA is filed under the name uncultured bacterium. RNAcentral describes it as "partial 16S ribosomal RNA". It matches the Rfam family "Bacterial small subunit ribosomal RNA", at positions 28 to 507 of the family's 1533-position model. The record is from RNAcentral.
GACGAACGCUGGCGGCGUGCUUAACACAUGCAAGUCGAACGGAAAGGCCUUUUCGGAGGUACUCGAGUGGCGAACGGGUGAGUAACACGUGGGUGAUCUGCCCUGCACUCUGGGAUAAGCCUGGGAAACUGGGUCUAAUACCGGAUAGGACCGCACUUUAGUGUGUGUGGUGGAAAGUUUUUUCGGUGUAGGAUGAGCCCGCGGCCUAUCAGCUUGUUGGUGGGGUAAUGGCCUACCAAGGCGGCGACGGGUAGCCGGACUGAGAGGUUGGUCGGCCACAUUGGGACUGAGAUACGGCCCAGACUCCUACAGGAGGCAGCAGUGGGGAAUAUUGCACAAUGGGCGCAAGCCUGAUGCAGCGACGCCGCGUGGGGGAUGACGGCCUUCGGGUUGUAAACUCCUUUCGCCAGGGACGAAGCGUUUUGUGACGGUACCUGGAGAAGAAGCACCGGCUAACUACGUG